CCUACGGGUGGCAGCAGUGAGGAAUAUUGGUCAAUGGCCGGAAGGCUGAACCAGCCAAGCCGCGUGAGGGACGAAGGUCCCAAGCGUUGUAAACUUCUUUUAUGAGGGGACAAAGUCAGCCACGUGAGCCUGACCGCGGGUACUUCAAGAAUAAGCACCGGCUAAUUCCGUGCCAGCAGCCGCGGUAAUACGGAGGGUCCGGGCGUUAUCCGGAUUUAUUGGGUUUAAAGGGUGCGUAGGCGGACUUUUAAGUCAGCGGUGAAAGUUUCGGGCUCAACCAUAGAGUUGCCGUGGAAACUGGGAGGCUUGAGUAUGCUGGAGGAAGGCGGAAUGCGUGGUGUAGCGGUGAAAUGCGUAGAUAUCACGCAGAACCCCGAUUGCGAAGGCAGCCUGCCAAGCCACAACUGACGCUGAUGCACGAAAGCGUGGGGAUCAAACAGGAUUAGAUACCCGUGUAGUC
Molecule: ribosomal RNA, 460 nt
Filed under: uncultured bacterium
Lineage: Bacteria
Description: partial 16S ribosomal RNA
Rfam family: Bacterial small subunit ribosomal RNA
Source: RNAcentral